This 97-nucleotide non-coding RNA is filed under the name Luteimonas sp. FCS-9. RNAcentral's name for it is "Glycine riboswitch aptamer". It matches the Rfam family "Glycine riboswitch aptamer". From Rfam's summary of the family: This family represents the bacterial glycine riboswitch. RNAcentral also lists the same sequence under 1 other name. Lineage: Bacteria; Pseudomonadati; Pseudomonadota; Gammaproteobacteria; Lysobacterales; Lysobacteraceae. The record is from Rfam by way of RNAcentral.
CGGGAAAACUCUGGAGAGACCGGUUCGAUCCGGCGCCGAAGGUGCAUGGGGACGCGUCACCCCCCGAACUCUCAGGCAAAAGGACAGAGGGGCACGA